AAUCAACGCUGGCGGCGCGCUUAACACAUGCAAGUCGCACGAGAAAGUGGAGCAAUCCAUGAGUAAAGUGGCGUACGGGUGAGUAACACGUGGAUCAUCUACCCUUUAGUGGGGAAUAACCCUGGGAAACCGGGGCUAAUACCGCAUAAUCCUGGGAAGGGAAAGCAGCAAUGCGCUGAAGGAGGAGUCCGCGGCCGAUUAGCUAGUUGGUAGGGUAACGGCCUACCAAGGCGAUGAUCGGUAGCCGGCCUGAGAGGGCACACGGCCACACUGGCACUGAAACACGGGCCAGACUCCUACGGGAGGCAGCAGUGGGGAAUCUUGCACAAUGGAGGAAACUCUGAUGCAGCGACGCCGCGUGAGCGAUGAAGCCCUUCGGGGUGUAAAGCUCUUUCGGCAGGGACGAUAAUGACGGUACCUGAAGAAGAAGCUGCGGCUAACUACGUGCCAGCAGCCGCGGUAAUACGUAGGCAGCGAGCGUUGUUCGGAAUUACUGGGCGUAAAGAGUGUGUAGGCGGUUUUCCAAGUUUGGUGUGAAAUCUCCCGGCUUAACUGGGAGGGUGCGCCGAAAACUGGGAGGCUUGAGUGCCGGAGAGGAUAGCGGAAUUCCUGGUGUAGCGGUGAAAUGCGUAGAUAUCAGGAGGAACACCUGCGGUGUAGACGGCUAUCUGGACGGCCACUGACGCUGAGACACGAAAGCGUGGGUAGCAAACAGGAUUAGAUACCCUGGUAGUCCACGCCCUAAACGAUGCAUACUUGGUGUGAGCCAUUCAUUUGGUUCGUGCCGGAGCUAACGCGUUAAGUAUGCCGCCUGGGGAGUACGGUCGCAAGGCUG
RNAcentral lists this ribosomal RNA (835 nucleotides) under uncultured bacterium. RNAcentral describes it as "bacterial SSU rRNA". It matches the Rfam family "Bacterial small subunit ribosomal RNA", at positions 28 to 896 of the family's 1533-position model. The record is from RNAcentral.